This 538-nucleotide ribosomal RNA is filed under the name uncultured bacterium. Its description in RNAcentral is "bacterial SSU rRNA". It matches the Rfam family "Bacterial small subunit ribosomal RNA", at positions 777 to 1314 of the family's 1533-position model. The record is from RNAcentral.
AAUAGAUACCCUGGUAGUCCACGCCGUAAACGAUGAGUGCUAAGUGUUAGGGGGUUUCCGCCCCUUAGUGCUGCAGCUAACGCAUUAAGCACUCCGCCUGGGGAGUACGGUCGCAAGACUGAAACUCAAAGGAAUUGACGGGGGCCCGCACAAGCGGUGGAGCAUGUGGUUUAAUUCGAAGCAACGCGAAGAACCUUACCAGGUCUUGACAUCCCACUGACCGCUAUGGAGACAUAGUUUUCCCUUCGGGGACAGUGGUGACAGGUGGUGCAUGGUUGUCGUCAGCUCGUGUCGUGAGAUGUUGGGUUAAGUCCCGCAACGAGCGCAACCCUUGAUCUUAGUUGCCAUCAUUUAGUUGGGCACUCUAAGGUGACUGCCGGUGACAAACCGGAGGAAGGUGGGGAUGACGUCAAAUCAUCAUACCCCUUAUGACCUGGGCUACACACGUGCUACAAUGGACGGUACAAACGGUUGCCAACCCGCGAGGGGAGCUAAUCCGAUAAAACCGUUCUCAGUUCGGAUUGUAGGCUGCAACUCG